Molecule: unclassified non-coding RNA, 411 nt
Filed under: Homo sapiens (human)
Lineage: Eukaryota; Metazoa; Chordata; Mammalia; Primates; Hominidae
Description: novel transcript (ENSG00000290521.1)
Source: RNAcentral
ACCUAAUUCUUGCAAUUCAGUGUAUUUCCUGGCGAGAGGCAGAGAUGAACAACCCUGGACAGUUACCACAUAUGGCUCUUAUGAGUAUAGACAAAAUGACCUACGAAUCAAGCAUUUUGUUCCACGGUCUCUACUGUUAGCUGCAUGUCUCAGAAACAGCUUCUUUCUCAAGAGAGAACAAGAGGGAUAAUGCUGGAUCUAAAGGCAUCAUCUGAAGAAGACAAAGAUAUCAACAAUCGCAACUAUUUGGCUUUCUGUCCAUCACUGAGACUUUUCAUAAUCUUCCCUUCAUAAAUAGGAUCUCUUGAUCAGAACAGAAAAGUUGAGUCUUAAAUUUCCUGUAUUUAUUUCUGACUGAUACUGAGGGAAGUGCAAAUUUGGUUGCUAUGAUUAAACUCCUUGAUUGUUCUU